This is a long non-coding RNA of Ipomoea nil (Japanese morning glory), 522 nucleotides long. RefSeq lists it as uncharacterized. The record is from RefSeq and is a predicted model, not a curated record. Lineage: Eukaryota; Viridiplantae; Streptophyta; Magnoliopsida; Solanales; Convolvulaceae. The transcript has 2 exons.
UGCAUCAUAUCCUACCUCGGAAAUUGGAAAAUCAUUAUCAUUACCAAAUUGCAGACAUAUAUAUAUAUAGUUAUGGCCGGCUCUUAUUUCCCUCUAAGGUUCAUAUUCGUGGCCGUGUUUGUUUCUGUUAUCUUCAUCUCGAUCAUGGCAGCGAAUCCGUCCGAGGCCGCUCGAGUUUCUCGAGAACUGCUUAAGGCUAACACUACCACCACCCCCGUAAUGUAUUGCCUGGACGACUGUGUUGGGUGUUGCGAACCACCGCCGCCGGGCUCAUGCUGUCUCAAGUGCGGUUGCUGAUCGACCUUCUUUAACUAUAAUAUACAUACACUACAAAUAUAUUGUUUGUAUCAAUAUGUUUUUUUUUUUUUUUUUUUUUUUUUGUGUGUGUGUGUGUGUGUGUGUCUUCUGCAAGUCGUUUAGUAAAUUAUGUCUAAAUUUCUCAUUAUGUAUGUGCUUAGAACAACUAAUUAAUAAAAAUUUGUGAUAAAGAAUUAUAUAUAUUCGUUGUUUACGUACUUUGAU